CGCUCAUCCAGAGGGGCAGAGGGAUACGGCCCGAUGAAGCCCCGGCAACCCUCCAGCCGGUCUGACCACGUCGUCGUGGUGAGGCUCCCGGCUCGGGAAGGUGCCAAAUCCGUCUCGCGGCGAAGUGCGCCGCGAGGAAGAUGAGGA
Regulatory RNA element from Streptomyces scabiei 87.22, 147 nucleotides. It matches the Rfam family "SAM riboswitch aptamer (S box leader)". Rfam says of the family: The SAM riboswitch is found upstream of a number of genes which code for proteins involved in methionine or cysteine biosynthesis in Gram-positive bacteria. Lineage: Bacteria; Bacillati; Actinomycetota; Actinomycetes; Kitasatosporales; Streptomycetaceae. The record is from Rfam.